This 502-nucleotide ribosomal RNA is filed under the name uncultured bacterium. RNAcentral describes it as "partial 16S ribosomal RNA". It matches the Rfam family "Bacterial small subunit ribosomal RNA", at positions 28 to 523 of the family's 1533-position model. The record is from RNAcentral.
GAUGAACGCUAGCGGCAGGCCUAACACAUGCAAGUCGAGGGGCAGCACAGAAACAGCAAUGUUUUGGUGGCGACCGGCGGACGGGUGCGUAACGCGUAUGCAACCUACCUUUAACAGGGGGAUAACGGAGAGAACUUUCCACUAAUACCCCAUAACAUCGAUCAAGGCAUCUUGAUUGGUUGAAAACUCCGGUGGUUAAAGAUGGGCAUGCGUUGUAUUAGGUAGUUGGUGAGGUAAUGGCUCACCAAGCCUACGAUACAUAGGGGGACUGAGAGGUUAGCCCCCCAAACUGGUACUGAGACACGGACCAGAAUCCUACGGGAGGCAGCAGUGAGGAAUAUUGGUCAAUGGGGGCAACCCUGAACCAGCCAUGCCGCGUGCAGGAAGACGGCUCUAUGAGUUGUAAACUGCUUUUAAACAGGGAUAAAGCACAGUAUGUAUACUGUGUUGAAGGUACUGUAAGAAUAAGGAUCGGCUAACUCCGUGCCAGCCGCCGCGGUAA